CCCUAUGGGGUGCAGCCGGCGGAAUGAUAAGUCAGUGGUGAAAUUCAACGGCUCAACUGUUGCCCUGCCCUUGAUACUGUCAAUCUAGAGUAUAGUUGGAGUGGGCGGAAUGUGUCAUGUAGCGGUGAAAUGCUUAGAUAUGACACAGAACACCGAUCGCGAAGGCAGCUCACUAAGCUAAAACUGACGCUCAUGCACGAAAGCGUGGGGAUCAAACA
RNAcentral lists this ribosomal RNA (218 nucleotides) under uncultured prokaryote. RNAcentral describes it as "partial 16S ribosomal RNA". It matches the Rfam family "Bacterial small subunit ribosomal RNA", at positions 561 to 774 of the family's 1533-position model. The record is from RNAcentral.